GACGAACGCUGGCGGCGUGCUUAACACAUGCAAGUCGAACGGAAAGGCCCUGCUUUUGUGGGGUGCGCGAGUGGCGAACGGAUGAGUAACACGUGAGUAACCUGACCUUGACUGUGGGAUAACUUCAGGAAACUGGGGCUAAUACCGGAUAGGAGCUCAUGCUGCAUGGUGGGGGUUGGAAAGUUUCGGCGGUUGGGGAUGGACUCGCGGCUUAUCAGCUUGUUGGUGGGGUAGUGGCUUACCAAGGCUUUGACGGGUCGCCGGCCUGAGAGGGUGGCCGGCCAGAUUGGGACUGAGAUACGGCCCAGACUCCUACGGGAGGCAGGAGGGGGGAAGAUUGCACAAUGGGCGGAAGACUGAUGCAGCAACGCCGGGUGCGGGAAGACGGACGUCGGGUUGGAAACCGCUUUCGCCUGUGACGAAGCGUGAGUGACGGUAAUGGGUAAAGAAGCAACGGCUAACUACGUG
This 468-nucleotide ribosomal RNA is filed under the name uncultured bacterium. RNAcentral's name for it is "partial 16S ribosomal RNA". It matches the Rfam family "Bacterial small subunit ribosomal RNA", at positions 28 to 507 of the family's 1533-position model. The record is from RNAcentral.